RNAcentral lists this long non-coding RNA (1296 nucleotides) under Cottoperca gobio. RNAcentral describes it as "lncRNA (ENSCGOG00000012056.1)". The record is from RNAcentral. Lineage: Eukaryota; Metazoa; Chordata; Actinopteri; Perciformes; Bovichtidae.
AUGCUGACUUCCUGUCAGCCUGAAGAAAGAUCCCUGCAGCUCUGUGUCACCUGCAGCUCCGUGUCACCUGCAGCUCCGUGUCACCUGCAGCUCCGUGUCACCUGCAGCUCAUCUGCAGCUCUGUGUCACCUGCAGCUCUGUGUCACCUGCAGCUCUGUGUCACCUGCAGCUGCUCUGUGUCACCUGCAGCUCCGUGUCACCUGCAGCAGCUCUGUGUCACCUGCAGCUGCUCUGUGUCACCUGCAGCUCUGUGUCACCUGCAGCUCCGUGUCACCUGCAGCAGCUCUGUGUCACCUGCAGCUGCUCUGUGUCACCUGCAGCUCUGUGUCACCUGCAGCAGCUAUGUGUCACCUGCAGCUGCUCUGUGUCACCUGCAGCAGCUAUGUGUCACCUGCAGCAGCUAUGUGUCACCUGCAGCAGCUCUGUGUCACCUGCAGCUCUGUGUCACCUGCAGCUCUGUGUCACCUGCAGCUCUGUGUCACCUGCAGCUGCUCUGUGUCACCUGCAGCUAUGUGUCACCUGCAGCAGCUCUGUGCCACCUGCAGCAGCUCUGUGCCACCUGCAGCUCUGUGCCACCUGCAGCAGCUCUGUGCCACCUGCAGCUCUGUGCCACCUGCAGCAGCUCUGUGCCACCUGCAGCAGCUCUGUGCCACCUGCAGCAGCUCUGUGUCACCUGCAGCUCUGUGUCACCUGCAGCAGCUAUGUGUCACCUGCAGCUGCUCUGUGUCACCUGCAGCAGCUCUGUGUCACCUGCAGCAGCUAUGUGUCACCUGCAGCUCUGUGUCACCUGCAGCUGCUCUGUGUCACCUGCAGCUCUGUGUCACCUGCAGCUGCUCUGUGUCACCUGCAGCUAUGUGUCACCUGCAGCAGCUCUGUAUCACCUGCAGCUCUGUGUCACCUGCAGCUCUGUGCCACCUGCAGCUGUGUGUCACCUGCAGCUCAUCUGCAGCUCUGUGUCACCUGCAGCUCUGUGCCACCUGCAGCAGCUCUGUGCCACCUGCAGCUCUGUGUCACCUGCAGCAGCUCUGUGCCACCUGCAGCAGCUCUGUGCCACCUGCAGCUCUGUGCCACCUAGGCAGCUCUGUGCCACCUGCAGCAGCUCUGUGCCACCUGCAGCUCUGUGUCACCUGCAGCAGCUCUGUGUCACCUGCAGCAGCUCUGUGCCACCUGCAGCAGCUCUGUGCCACCUGCAGCAGCUCUGUGCCACCUGCAGCUCCGUGUCACCUGCAGCAGUGUGGAGGAGCUUCUCUUGAGGCUUGUGUGAGGACCAGGGCAGCUUUAUGUAUAUCCAACUAA